RNAcentral lists this ribosomal RNA (577 nucleotides) under uncultured bacterium. Its description in RNAcentral is "bacterial SSU rRNA". It matches the Rfam family "Bacterial small subunit ribosomal RNA", at positions 251 to 824 of the family's 1533-position model. The record is from RNAcentral.
GGCGGUGUAACGGACCACCAAGACGACGAUGCGUAGGGGUUCUGAGAGGAAGGUCCCCCACACUGGUACUGAGACACGGACCAGACUCCUACGGGAGGCAGCAGUGAGGAAUAUUGGUCAAUGGCCGAGAGGCUGAACCAGCCAAGUCGCGUGAGGGAAGAAUGUCCUAUGGAUUGUAAACCUCUUUUGUGCGGGAGCAAUAAUGGUCACGUGUGGCCAGACGAGAGUACCGUACGAAUAAGCAUCGGCUAACUCCGUGCCAGCAGCCGCGGUAAUACGGGGGAUGCAAGCGUUAUCCGGAUUUAUUGGGUUUAAAGGGUGCGUAGGCUGUGAGGUAAGUCAGCGGUGAAAUGCCCCCGCUCAACGGGGUGAAGUGCCAUUGAUACUGCCUUGCUGGAAUGCGGAUGCCGUGGGAGGAAUGUGUGGUGUAGCGGUGAAAUGCAUAGAUAUCACACAGAACACCGAUUGCGAAGGCAUCUCACGAAUCCGCGAUUGACGCUGAUGCACGAAAGCGUGGGUAUCAAACAGGAUUAGAUACCCUGGUAGUCCACGCUGUAAACGAUGAUGACUAACCGUC